AGAGACUUAAGUUAUACAAACUAGUAGCCUUCAAAGCUGCAAAAGGGCCAAACACCAGUCUUUG
Molecule: transfer RNA, 64 nt
Filed under: Anodontites trapesialis
Lineage: Eukaryota; Metazoa; Mollusca; Bivalvia; Unionida; Mycetopodidae
Description: tRNA-Trp
Source: RNAcentral